GACGAACGCUGGCGGCGUGCUUAACACAUGCAAGUCGAACGGAAAGGCCCUGCUUUUGUGGGGUGCUCGAGUGGCGAACGGGUGAGUAACACGUGAGUAACCUGCCCUUGACUUUGGGAUAACUUCAGGAAACUGGGGCUAAUACCGGAUAGGAGCUCCUGCUGCAUGGUGGGGGUUGGAAAGUUUCGGCGGUUGGGGAUGGACUCGCGGCUUAUCAGCUUGUUGGUGGGGUAGUGGCUUACCAAGGCUUUGACGGGUAGCCGGCCUGAGAGGGUGGCCGGCCACAUUAGGCCUGAGAUACGGCCCAGACUCCAACGGGAGGCAGCAGUGGGGAAUAUUGCACAAUGGGCGGAAGCCUGAUGCAGCAACGCCGCGUGCGGGAUGACGGCCUUCGGGUUGUAAACCGCUUUCGCCUGUGACGAAGCGUGAGUGACGGUAAUGGGUAAAGAAGCACCGGCUAACUACGUG
RNAcentral lists this ribosomal RNA (468 nucleotides) under uncultured bacterium. RNAcentral describes it as "partial 16S ribosomal RNA". It matches the Rfam family "Bacterial small subunit ribosomal RNA", at positions 28 to 507 of the family's 1533-position model. The record is from RNAcentral.